RNAcentral lists this RNase P RNA (361 nucleotides) under Neorickettsia helminthoeca str. Oregon. Its description in RNAcentral is "Bacterial RNase P class A". It matches the Rfam family "Bacterial RNase P class A". Rfam says of the family: Ribonuclease P (RNase P) is a ubiquitous endoribonuclease, found in archaea, bacteria and eukarya as well as chloroplasts and mitochondria. Its best characterised activity is the generation of mature 5'-ends of tRNAs by cleaving the 5'-leader elements of precursor-tRNAs. Cellular RNase Ps are ribonucleoproteins. The record is from Rfam by way of RNAcentral. Lineage: Bacteria; Pseudomonadati; Pseudomonadota; Alphaproteobacteria; Rickettsiales; Anaplasmataceae.
GAGGUACCUGAUAUAGUCGCUGCUUGUUCCCGCGUUUUGUGGGAUUGAGGAGAGGAAAGUCUGGGCUCCACGAGAGAAUGGUAGCGGAUAACGUCCGCCGGAGUCUGUGACUUCAGGACAAGUGCUACAGAAAACAACCGCCUGUUUUCAGGUAAGGGUGAAAAGGUGUGGUAAGAGCACACCGCGUCCGUGGCAACAUGGAUGGCGAAAGUAAACUCUACCAGGAGCAAGACCAAAUUAGAAAGAAAGUGUACUCUCGCACGUUUGAUCUUUCGGGUGGGUCGCUUGAGGUGCAUAGCAAUGUGCAUCCUAGAUGAAUGACUAUGACUAACAGAACCCAGCUUAUGAGGGUACCUCUGUU